Coregonus clupeaformis (lake whitefish) is the source of this 1813-nucleotide long non-coding RNA. RefSeq lists it as uncharacterized. The record is from RefSeq and is a predicted model, not a curated record. Lineage: Eukaryota; Metazoa; Chordata; Actinopteri; Salmoniformes; Salmonidae. The transcript has 6 exons.
CUGAAGCGCUGUACUACCAGGCUUGAUUAUGUUCCAAUCGGCUGGCUGCGCCUGGAUUCCUGGUGUCGAAAAAUCCACCCAUCGAUGGCUUAUAAGCAUUGCCAAAUGUGGGUGUGUGCUGCUUCUGAGAGGAAACGGAAGCUAACAGGGGCAGAGACAGACAAGCUGUCUGCCAAGCACCCCACCACCACCUCUGAAAUUGUGUGGUCUUCUGUAGUCUACAGAGGUGUCCAGAGUGAAAGGCCAAGCUCCCUCCUGAUGCCUUCACCGUCCUCAUCAUUACAGCCUGUUGAGGAAUCCAUGGAUCAUCUCACCAUCAGGACACCUCUCCAUGUCUCACCAUCAGGACACCUCUCCAUGUCUCACCAUCAGGACACCUCUCCAUGUCUCACCUCCUCGUCUCUCCUCUCCAUGUCUCACCUCCACGAGCUUUGCAAUGAAUUUGCUCCUGACAUCAUCACAGCAAGGAAACAUACCGGUUCCAGUGCCUCCGUUCAGGUCUGUUCCAGUGCAGUAUAACAGGCCUGGUGUUUAGGAUGGAGGGAGAGGUGCUCUAUAGGACAGUCCCCUGGAACAGGAGGCUUCUAGCCCAGAGAGGCAAGAGGCCUGCAGGACCCCUGUUCAACAUCGACUGCCCUCAGAAGUCUGUCUGCCAACUACACCUCCCACACUGUCAGAUUCAUUCUGGUGGUGGAUGUGACUUCCUGUCUGUAGCCCAUGUGACUGAUGACAUCAUUGAAUUUCUUCCUCCUCAUGAGAUAACAGAAACACACAUCAUAAUAAACAUCACUGGAUUCUCUGCUUAUGGUGAUGUCACGGAUGAUGAUGCUCCCAUCUCCCCUAUCCAGGGGCUUGUGUUGUUAUUCCACCAACUGUUUGUCCCUGAAGAGAGGUCCAUCCUGAAUGUGUUGUUGCUUCCCAGUAAUGUUGUGAGAAAAGAGGUGAGCUGGAGCCCUACAACCCCAGAAACCUUAUUCUAUCUGGCUGGAAUUCAAUCAAACACACAAUGGGAAAUGUAAUACUGGCAUAACGGCUAAAACAUUUAAUCAAACCAUUAUGGAGAGAAGCAAGUGUGACUGAAUUCCAUCUGUUGACCUUUUUGAUCUUAUUGCAUUAUUCUCAAGCUUUAAGUCGUUUUUUUAAUCACAUUCUCUGCAAUUAUUUUUAAAAAGAGGGUAUUUUGAAGCACAAUGAACCUGUCUAUUGUUGGUCCUUUCAAGGUGCGGUGAUUGAAAGGGAUGGUAUGUGAGACCUUUUAACAACUUCUCAGUGUAAACUUCCCCCGAAGCAAGAAUACGCCUUCUCCACUAAUUCCACAGAUGCACAUCGAAUACAAUAUUUGAGUAAUACAUUUUUUAUUACAAUGUAAUUUUUUAUUUCAUUGUCACUUCCUAUGAAAGCAACUACUACCCCACAUUUCAGUUGUUUUUUCUGAAAGAAAAGGAAGGUGAUGAACUUGUAUGGAACAGACUUGUCUGGUUGCCAGGUAACAAACAUUCAGAGCUCAAAUCCAAUCAAAUGAAGUCAGACCCGUAGUACUGUUACAUGUUUUUAGUUUUCUUACAGCGUUAUUGUUAUUGAACUAUGAUGUCAUUAUAUCAUAUGAUUAUAAUGAAUAUACCUUUUAUCAGAUAGUAAAACACCAUCUAUUUUCAGCCUCACCAACAGAUGUCACCUCUACAAGUUCACUGACAUUCACCAUCAUUAUAAACCUCUCGAUAACAAACUACAGAUUAAUCACCAUUAUAAACCUCUCAAUAACAAACUAGAGAUUCAUCACCAUUAUAAACCUCUCAAUAACAAACUAGAGAUU